Molecule: ribosomal RNA, 437 nt
Rfam family: Bacterial small subunit ribosomal RNA
ACGGGAGGCAGCAGUGGGGAAUAUUGCACAAUGGGGGAAACCCUGAUGCAGCAACGCCGCGUGAGUGAUGAAGGUCUUCGGAUUGUAAAACUCUGUCCUUAGGGACGAAACAAAUGACGGUACCUAAGGAGGAAGCCCCGGCUAACUACGUGCCAGCAGCCGCGGUAAUACGUAGGGAGCAAGCGUUAUCCGGAAUUACUGGGUGUAAAGGGAGUGUAGGCGGGACUGUAAGUCAGAUGUGAAAUAUGCCGGCUCAACUGGCAGACUGCAUUUGAAACUGCGGUUCUUGAGUGAAGUAGAGGUAAGCGGAAUUCCUAGUGUAGCGGUGAAAUGCGUAGAUAUUAGGAGGAACAUCAGUGGCGAAGGCGGCUUACUGGGCUUUAACUGACGCUGAGGCUCGAAAGCGUGGGGAGCAAACAGGAUUAGAUACCCUGGUA